Oreochromis aureus is the source of this 677-nucleotide long non-coding RNA. The record is from Ensembl. Lineage: Eukaryota; Metazoa; Chordata; Actinopteri; Cichliformes; Cichlidae.
AGGCGAUGCAAACUCAGGUUUCUGAGUCUCUUUCCAUCCUGAGGAGAGGAUGAUUUCCAAGGCGGGCAGGAGGACAGGCAAGUGAGGCUGGCGCGAGGCUGCCAACAGAGUCAGGUUGAGAGUGGAUUUAAGGCAAGCUUUGACACAAGGAGAUGAGGUAAGGAUGCAACAAGCAAUAGCUAAAAAACAAGGAAUUGUGGCUGUGUUGUUACCAUAGGUAGCUAAUGGACUAACGAAGGAGAGAUGACCACGCCGAGCUUAAAUGCAGCCAUGCUGAUUGUCACUGAAUGAGGAACAGAUGCCUUGUUGGGACCUGUCUACUUUUCCUAAGCACACAGAUUACUUCUGAACAUGCUGGGGAUCUCUCCACUAAAUCAGCUCCUCUCUGGCACCACCUCUGUAGCAAGACCCUUUACCUACCUAUUCACAAUCAGCUGUCACUCUCCACCUGGCCUCCAUAUUAAGCCAGCCUGAUAUAAUAAUUGUCAACUCUGCUUCAAGUCUGCUCCUUGGAUCCUGCCUGAACCUAACCACUAACAUGUUUUGAUGUGUGUAAACUGACAUUUUUAAAAAUUUUAUGUUUUUGUUCCCUGAUUGAUAAGACUUGGAACAAUUUAUUAACAAUCAAACUUGCAUAUUCUGAUUGCCUGGGGCAGUGAAUGUCAGUUGGUGGCCUG